CAGCAGCCGCGGUAAUACGAAGGGUGCAAGCGUUACUCGGAAUUACUGGGCGUAAAGCGUGCGUAGGUGGUGGUUUAAGUCCGUUGUGAAGGCCCUGGGCUCAACCUGGGAAUUGCAGUGGAUACUGGAUCACUAGAGUGUGGUAGAGGAUAGUGGAAUUUCCGGUGUAGCAGUGAAAUGCGUAGAGAUCGGAAGGAACAUCUGUGGCGAAGGCGACUAUCUGGGCCAACACUGGCACUGAGGCACGAAAGCGUGGGGAGCAAACAGGAUUAGAUACCCCUGUAGUCCCUGUCUCUUAUAA
This 301-nucleotide ribosomal RNA is filed under the name uncultured bacterium. Its description in RNAcentral is "partial 16S ribosomal RNA". It matches the Rfam family "Bacterial small subunit ribosomal RNA", at positions 509 to 809 of the family's 1533-position model. The record is from RNAcentral.